CCGCCCGUCACAUCACGAAAGCCAGUUGUACUAGAAGCCGGCAAUUCAACCGCAAGGAGACAGCCGUCCAAGGCAUGACUGGUGAUUGGGGUG
This 93-nucleotide ribosomal RNA is filed under the name uncultured bacterium. Its description in RNAcentral is "partial 16S ribosomal RNA". It matches the Rfam family "Bacterial small subunit ribosomal RNA", at positions 1390 to 1482 of the family's 1533-position model. The record is from RNAcentral.